UAUUCCUCUUUUACUAUCUCUUCUCCUCACAUGAAUGGUUUCUAUUGGAAAAGGUUUUUAGCACAAUUUUUGGAUUUUUGCCUCUAACAUUAUAUAGGACACAUGGUGAUUCUAUUUGAGUUACUCGUGGUAUAUUUGGUGUAACCAAGAAGGUUGGGAUUCGAACUCGUGACCUUGUGGUUACAAGUUUUAUCCUUAGCCAUUUUGGCAGGGGUUAACCCCAAUGUUUUAUCUGUUGUUUCUAUGGAGUAAUGUCUUUUCAUCAAAUAUCUACUGAAAUUCGAAACAUAUAAUAGUUAUUAUUAGAAAUGUGGCUUCAUAUUAUACUUAGAGAAUGAAUCAACUUCAUAAUCUGAAA
Molecule: long non-coding RNA, 358 nt
Organism: Ipomoea nil (Japanese morning glory)
Lineage: Eukaryota; Viridiplantae; Streptophyta; Magnoliopsida; Solanales; Convolvulaceae
Exons: 2
Source: RefSeq, a predicted model, not a curated record